Molecule: ribosomal RNA, 490 nt
Filed under: uncultured bacterium
Lineage: Bacteria
Description: partial 16S ribosomal RNA
Rfam family: Bacterial small subunit ribosomal RNA
Source: RNAcentral
AGUGAACGCUGGCGGUAGGCCUAACACAUGCAAGUCGAACGGCAGCACAGGAGAGCUUGCUCUCUGGGUGGCGAGUGGCGGACGGGUGAGGAAUACAUCGGAAUCUGCCCAGUCGUGGGGGAUAACGUAGGGAAACUUACGCUAAUACCGCAUACGACCUUCGGGUGAAAGAGGGGGAUCGCAAGACCUCUCGCGAUUGGAUGAGCCGAUGUCGGAUUAGCUAGUUGGCGGGGUAAUGGCCCACCAAGGCGACGAUCCGUAGCUGGUCUGAGAGGAUGAUCAGCCACACUGGAACUGAGACACGGUCCAGACUCCUACGGGAGGCAGCAGUGGGGAAUAUUGGACAAUGGGCGCAAGCCUGAUCCAGCCAUACCGCGUGGGUGAAGAAGGCCUUCGGGUUGUAAAGCCCUUUUGUUGGGAAAGAAAUCUUUCAGGCUAAUACACUGGGAGGAUGACGGUACCCAAAGAAUAAGCACCGGCUAACUUCGUG